ACGGAGGAUCCAAGCGUUAUCCGGAAUCAUUGGGUUUAAAGGGUCCGUAGGCGGUCUUAUAAGUCAGUGGUGAAAUCUCCCCGCUCAACGGGGAAACGGCCAUUGAUACUGUAGGACUUGAAUUAUUAGGAAGUAACUAGAAUAUGUAGUGUAGCGGUGAAAUGCUUAGAGAUUACAUGGAAUACCAAUUGCGAAGGCAGGUUACUACUAAUGGAUUGACGCUGAUGGACGAAAGCGUGGGUAGCGAACAGGAUUAGAUACCCUGGUAGUCCACGCCGUAAACGAUGGAUACUAGCUGUUGGGCGCAAGUUCAGUGGCUAAGCGAAAGUGAUAAGUAUCCCACCUGGGGAGUACGUUCGCAAGAAUG
Molecule: ribosomal RNA, 367 nt
Filed under: uncultured bacterium
Lineage: Bacteria
Description: bacterial SSU rRNA
Rfam family: Bacterial small subunit ribosomal RNA
Source: RNAcentral